RNAcentral lists this ribosomal RNA (227 nucleotides) under uncultured bacterium. Its description in RNAcentral is "partial 16S ribosomal RNA". It matches the Rfam family "Bacterial small subunit ribosomal RNA", at positions 568 to 795 of the family's 1533-position model. The record is from RNAcentral.
UGCGUAGGCGGCCUGACAAGUCAGAGGUGAAAGGCUACGGCUUAACCGUAGUAAGCCUUUGAAACUGACAGGCUUGAGUGCAGGAGAGGAAAGUGGAAUUCCUAGUGUAGCGGUGAAAUGCGUAGAUAUUAGGAGGAACACCAGUGGCGAAGGCGACUUUCUGGACUGUAACUGACGCUGAGGAACGAAAGCGUGGGGAGCGAACAGGAUUAGAUACCCUGGUAGUC